GAAAGAUGAAAAGAACUUUGAAAAGAGAGUUAAACAGUACGUGAAAUUGUUGAAAGGGAAACGAUUGAAGCCAGUCGUACCUUCGGGUAAUCAGCCUUUCGGGUGUGAUUUUGUGGAGCGUGAAGAGUUAAACGCCUUCAUGCCUGCAUAUUCGUGCACUUUGGGUGUACUUGCCCGUAUGGUUGGUUAACAUCAAUUUUGGUGGUCAUAAAAUGACUGGAGGAAUGUAGCUUCGAUCUCGUAUUGAAGUGUUAUA
Molecule: ribosomal RNA, 256 nt
Filed under: uncultured Rhizophagus
Lineage: Eukaryota; Fungi; Glomeromycota; Glomeromycetes; Glomerales; Glomeraceae
Description: partial large subunit ribosomal RNA
Rfam family: Eukaryotic large subunit ribosomal RNA
Source: RNAcentral